UCAGGUAUACCACUGAUAUUUGUUGUCUUCAAAUCCUGUGUGCUUACAUUUCCACUAAUGUUGACCAUGGAAGGACCAAUGAAAAUAUCCUAGUAAGGCCAAGGAACAAUUUAAGAUCAAUCCAAGACUUGCAAGCAGCAGAAUACUGUGAUCAAAGUUUAUUUUUUGAGAAGUUUCUCUGACGACUGACUUUAAAGUAGACAGAGACAGGAUUCAGGACACUGCAUUCCCAUGAAACUGCACCAAAGUCCAGGGACAAGGGAAUUUUGCCAACAUCCAUCUAAGUUUGGGAGAGGACCCAGAGCUUCAGAUAUGACCACAGUCCAGCCAGCACGUCGACUGCAGCUGUGUGUGACCCUGAGCAGAACACUCAGCUAAGCUGCUCCCAGACUCCUGAUUCAC
Long non-coding RNA from Cavia porcellus (domestic guinea pig), 402 nucleotides. RefSeq lists it as uncharacterized. The record is from RefSeq and is a predicted model, not a curated record. Lineage: Eukaryota; Metazoa; Chordata; Mammalia; Rodentia; Caviidae. The transcript is spliced from 3 exons.